ACAAAAUUAAAUUAGGAAAUGAAGAUUUGUUGGAUAUUAUCAAAUUUGGUAAUUAGCUAAUACAUAUUUUUAAAUAUUAUCUUUACAAUUGAUUGGUAACCUGUUGAGCAGGUUACGAUUGUGUAAAUGUAAAUCUUAACCUCAGAAAUAUGAAUGGUCAGAUUUAAAUUGGCCGGUGUAUAGAAGUAUUUCUCAUUAAUUUUAUAUAGUUGGAUAUAUUAAUGGAAUUUUUUUUAUUGUUAAUGAGCUUAUAAUGUAUACUGACGAAGCGAUAAAUGACAAUUUAAAAAAGAAAAAUCUUUGAAGUAAAAAUAAUAUUG
Molecule: long non-coding RNA, 320 nt
Filed under: Ananas comosus (pineapple)
Lineage: Eukaryota; Viridiplantae; Streptophyta; Magnoliopsida; Poales; Bromeliaceae
Description: long non-coding RNA (ACOM_LNC026682)
Source: RNAcentral